GAUCAUUAAAUAAUUUGAUAUUCUGAAAAAUUUAUUUUUUUCAGUAAUAUUCUAUUUUACUGUGAACUGUAUUAUUACGAGAUGCCUGAGGGAUGCUUACCUGGACUAUAAGGAUAGGUCUGGUAGGAUGUUAACCGAGUCUCGAUCAAGCUUUCUUUUUUAAGCUUGGUAUCCUAUUAUUAUUUACCAAAAGAAUUCAGUAUAAAAUAUUGUAACAUAGACCUAAAAAAUCUAUAAAAACAACUUUUAACAACGGAUCUCUUGGUUCUCGCAUCGAUGAAGAACGUAGCAAAGUGCGAUAACUAGUGUGAAUUGCAUAUUCAGUGAAUCAUCGAGUCUUUGAACGCAUCUUGCGCUCAUUGGUAUUCCAAUGAGCACGCCUGUUUCAGUAUCAGAAACACCCCACAUUCAAAAUCUUUUUUUUUUUUUUGAAUGGAACUGAGCGACUACGGUCUUUUUUUUUAAGACUGUUCGCUUUAAAAAUAUUAGGCCUGGAAUUUAGUAUUUUCUUGAAUUUGCCUGAACUUUUUUUUUAAUAUAAAGGAAAAGCUCUGGGUCAAACCUAUGGAAGACUAAAAGCUUUUGGGGCCUCUCAAAUAAAACUUU
Molecule: unclassified non-coding RNA, 606 nt
Filed under: Mucor flavus
Lineage: Eukaryota; Fungi; Mucoromycota; Mucoromycetes; Mucorales; Mucoraceae
Description: sequence contains 18S rRNA gene, ITS1, 5.8S rRNA gene, ITS2, 28S rRNA gene
Rfam family: 5.8S ribosomal RNA (bases 242-394)
Source: RNAcentral